AAGUCGUACGCUUCUUUUUCCCCGGAGCUUGCUCCACCGGAAAAAGAAGAGUGGCGAACGGGUGAGUAACACGUGGGUAACCUGCCCAUCAGAAGGGGAUAACACUUGGAAACAGGUGCUAAUACCGUAUAACAAUCGAAACCGCAUGGUUUUGAUUUGAAAGGCGCUUUCGGGUGUCGCUGAUGGAUGGACCCGCGGUGCAUUAGCUAGUUGGUGAGGUAACGGCUCACCAAGGCCACGAUGCAUAGCCGACCUGAGAGGGUGAUCGGCCACAUUGGGACUGAGACACGGCCCAAACUCCUACGGGAGGCAGCAGUAGGGAAUCUUCGGCAAUGGACGAAAGUCUGACCGAGCAACGCCGCGUGAGUGAAGAAGGUUUUCGGAUCGUAAAACUCUGUUGUUAGAGAAGAACAAGGAUGAGAGUAACUGUUCAUCCCUUGACGGUAUCUAACCAGAAAGCCACGGCUAACUACGUGCCAGCAGCCGCGGUAAUACGUAGGUGGCAAGCGUUGUCCGGAUUUAUUGGGCGUAAAGCGAGCGCAGGCGGUUUCUUAAGUCUGAUGUGAAAGCCCCCGGCUCAACCGGGGAGGGUCAUUGGAAACUGGGAGACUUGAGUGCAGAAGAGGAGAGUGGAAUUCCAUGUGUAGCGGUGAAAUGCGUAGAUAUAUGGAGGAACACCAGUGGCGAAGGCGGCUCUCUGGUCUGUAACUGACGCUGAGGCUCGAAAGCGUGGGGAGCAAACAGGAUUAGAUACCCUGGUAGUCCACGCCGUAAACGAUGAGUGCUAAGUGUUGGAGGGUUUCCGCCCUUCAGUGCUGCAGCUAACGCAUUAAGCACUCCGCCUGGGGAGUACGACCGCAAGGUUGAAACUCAAAGGAAUUGACGGGGGCCCGCACAAGCGGUGGAGCAUGUGGUUUAAUUCGAAGCAACGCGAAGAACCUUACCAGGUCUUGACAUCCUUUGACCACUCUAGAGAUAGAGCUUCCCCUUCGGGGGCAAAGUGACAGGUGGUGCAUGGUUGUCGUCAGCUCGUGUCGUGAGAUGUUGGGUUAAGUCCCGCAACGAGCGCAACCCUUAUUGUUAGUUGCCAUCAUUCAGUUGGGCACUCUAGCAAGACUGCCGGUGACAAACCGGAGGAAGGUGGGGAUGACGUCAAAUCAUCAUGCCCCUUAUGACCUGGGCUACACACGUGCUACAAUGGGAAGUACAACGAGUCGCGAAGUCGCGAGGCUAAGCUAAUCUCUUAAAGCUUCUCUCAGUUCGGAUUGUAGGCUGCAACUCGCCUACAUGAAGCCGGAAUCGCUAGUAAUCGCGGAUCAGCACGCCGCGGUGAAUACGUUCCCGGGCCUUGUACACACCGCCCGUCACACCACGAGAGUUUGUAACACCCGAAGUCGGUGAGGUAACCUUU
This 1411-nucleotide ribosomal RNA is filed under the name Enterococcus durans. Its description in RNAcentral is "bacterial SSU rRNA". It matches the Rfam family "Bacterial small subunit ribosomal RNA". Lineage: Bacteria; Bacillati; Bacillota; Bacilli; Lactobacillales; Enterococcaceae. The record is from RNAcentral.